RNAcentral lists this non-coding RNA (29 nucleotides) under Mus musculus (house mouse). Lineage: Eukaryota; Metazoa; Chordata; Mammalia; Rodentia; Muridae. The record is from RNAcentral.
UGAUUUUGUGUUUGUUCUUGUUACAGUCU